GUCAUAUACCCUCUGGCCUCUCAGACCGUUGCGGAAUACUUUAGCCGUAUACGUCUUUCUAGUACCACAAUGAUGAAUGAUUACUCGCGCUGGACCGACGGAAAAGUGUAUACAUACAUCUUCUGGUAUCGACUAAAAAGGGAAGAAAAAGACGGACGACUUACUAAAAUUUGAAAGAGAUCAAAAGUUAAAUGAAACAAAUAAAGAAACAUAGAAUCUUUAAUGAGUAAAAAAAUUAGAAAUUACCACUUCGUCAUAUGCCAUGUCAUUUACGUCCAACCUAAUAAUGAAUUCUGGCCCGCUUUGAUUAGGGUUGAUACGUAG
Molecule: long non-coding RNA, 324 nt
Filed under: Capsicum annuum
Lineage: Eukaryota; Viridiplantae; Streptophyta; Magnoliopsida; Solanales; Solanaceae
Description: long non-coding RNA (CANN_LNC020138)
Source: RNAcentral